Molecule: ribosomal RNA, 309 nt
Filed under: uncultured Acidobacteriota bacterium
Lineage: Bacteria; Pseudomonadati; Acidobacteriota
Description: bacterial SSU rRNA
Rfam family: Bacterial small subunit ribosomal RNA
Source: RNAcentral
AAUCAACGCUGGCGGCGUGCCUAACACAUGCAAGUCGAACGAGAAAGUGGAGCAAUCCAUGAGUAAAGUGGCGCACGGGUGAGUAACACGUGACUAACCUACCCUUGAGUGGGGGAUAACCUAGGGAAACCUGGGCUAAUACCGCAUAAUACCGAGAGGUCAAAGGAGCAAUUCGCUUAAGGAGGGGGUCGCGGCCGAUUAGUUAGUUGGCGGGGUAAUGGCCCACCAAGACUAUGAUCGGUAUCCGGCCUGAGAGGGCGCACGGACACACUGGAACUGAAACACGGUCCAGACUCCUACGGGAGGCAG